Long non-coding RNA from Brassica napus (rape), 623 nucleotides. RefSeq lists it as uncharacterized. NCBI's taxonomy places the organism in Eukaryota, Viridiplantae, Streptophyta, Magnoliopsida, Brassicales, Brassicaceae. The record is from RefSeq and is a predicted model, not a curated record. The transcript is spliced from 2 exons.
UAUUAAAACAGAAGGCCCUUUUUUGAGGUGCCUUUCUACUUUGUAAAUAUUUACGGAACCAUGCCAUUGGAUUAUUUAAAACCUAUGAUUUUUAUUAAAUACCAUAUUUUACGAAAAGUCUUUUAAUUAACUAUCUCAUUAUUUUGUUGAAUCUUUCUCCGCGUGUAGUUAAUUUACCGGAUUCGUAGGCAAGAUAUUUUGGUUUAUUGGUGAUAUAAUGGAUCUUGAGGAGAUGUGAUUUUUCCAGGCGACUCGGGAUCUUACGGAAACUAAAGGGAGGCAAAGGACUGAAGGAGAAGAAGACAGAGAUCCUGAAUUGCGAUGUGAGAUUAUGGGAAAAUUUCUGAAAAAUUAUAUGAGAAAAGUAGAGAUGUGUAGUUUUGGGGAGUGGAUUCGGGAAAGUAUCAAAGGAGAAUCCAAACAGGGACACAAAAAACAUUAUAUCAAGGAACUUGAUUUUGCAAAACAAAGAUCUAUAAGGAUAUAGGAGAUUUAAUUGGUUUUCAUAUAUGGUUUAAAUGGUUUUGGAGUGGUCCCAGAUUUAAAGAGACAUUGUUAUCACAUGUGUACAUUGCGGUUGAUUUAGCAAUGGUUAAUAAUAUGAUUUUAUGGUUUUUCUUCAA